Molecule: ribosomal RNA, 539 nt
Filed under: Pseudomonas sp.
Lineage: Bacteria; Pseudomonadati; Pseudomonadota; Gammaproteobacteria; Pseudomonadales; Pseudomonadaceae
Also listed under: 1 other name
Description: bacterial SSU rRNA
Rfam family: Bacterial small subunit ribosomal RNA
Source: RNAcentral
AGCUCGCGCCUGGGGUCCCGGCGGACGGGUGAGUAAUGCCUAGGAAUCUGCCUGGUAGUGGGGGACAACGUUUCGAAAGGAACGCUAAUACCGCAUACGUCCUACGGGAGAAAGCAGGGGACCUUCGGGCCUUGCGCUAUCAGAUGAGCCUAGGUCGGAUUAGCUAGUUGGUGAGGUAAUGGCUCACCAAGGCGACGAUCCGUAACUGGUCUGAGAGGAUGAUCAGUCACACUGGAACUGAGACACGGUCCAGACUCCUACGGGAGGCAGCAGUGGGGAAUAUUGGACAAUGGGCGAAAGCCUGAUCCAGCCAUGCCGCGUGUGUGAAGAAGGUCUUCGGAUUGUAAAGCACUUUAAGUUGGGAGGAAGGGUUGUAGAUUAAUACUCUGCAAUUUUGACGUUACCGACAGAAUAAGCACCGGCUAACUCUGUGCCAGCAGCCGCGGUAAUACAGAGGGUGCAAGCGUUAAUCGGAAUUACUGGGCGUAAAGCGCGCGUAGGUGGUUCGUUAAGUUGGAUGUGAAAUCCCCGGGCUCAAC